CUCAACAUGGAGCUGAAGGUUCAUUCUCUUCUAGGUCGACUGCAACUGGAAUCCGUCAAAAUGCCAAAACACCAAUGGCGUCAAGAGGUGGUGACGAACGGCCCCCUGGAGGAACGCCGCUCAGCCUUCCACCUUCUCCAGACCCUCAGCUCAAAAUGCAAACACAACUAAUCAGUAAUCACAGUCUCGAACCAAUGGCUCGGUAUGGAAUGGCGGCCACCUCGAAGCACACACGGGCUGGUUUAAGUGGAACACCGAGACAUAGCUAAUAACUGAUUUGCAACCAUAUACGCGUAGCCUACCAUGCAUAUUCAUAUAACUAUAAAUAAGUCAAGCAAUACUCUCUUAUACUACAAGGAGUUUCGGGCAUCUCCGGGGGUAGUUUUAAUGACCCUUGUGGUAGUUUGACCCUUAUUCUGUACCUAAACCUAAAAGAAAACCCCACUCAUUAGAACCCGAUUGAUCUCCUUUUCGGCCUUGGGAAAUUGAUGAUGUAGCCUACGUGAGAGCCGAAAGUGUCGUGAAAAUACUAACUAAUAUCUUGGGAGUAACAUCCACGUAGGAAUAACUUCUACCAGUGGCAUAACAGUACCUCAAUAAUGGGUUACUCAAGGACUCGUUUUCUCAAACCUUUCGGCGCCCAAGUCCACAUAUUUGACAAAGGCUUUCGUAGGGGUUGUGGGCAUUAAUAUUAUUUUCAAGGGGUAGAACAUAUAAGAACAUAAGAACAUAGGGAGACUGCAAGAGGCCGAAUGGCCUCCACAAGGCAGCUCCAGAUUUCCCCCCGCUACCUGUCAUCCUCGUCCAUGUAGCAAUAUAUAUCAAGUCUACUCUUAAAACAAGCUAUCGUUGGAUCGUACUUGCACUCACUUAUAUGUCUGUGAACCCUAUACAUAUGGAACGGACACGCCCAGCCUUGUCAUUAAGCCGCUAGUUUUGGAAAAUCAACCGCUUUGGUGCGAAUCAAAGGGUCGAAAAUCGAAUAAAUUCGCAAAAAACGACUCUGAAAAGAUACGUAUUUUUGAGUUCCCAACCUUGAGACCCACUCAUUUUUUGAGAAUUUCAAAACACUUAUUUAUUCAUCAUGUAUUCAUCAUUACCAAGAAAUGCGCUGAGGACAAUUCAUCAUCAAGAUGUGCUGUCUCCUUUACAAAUACUAGUUAGAAAAUUGUAAGCAGCAAUCAUGUACUGCCAGUCUGCCACACGAACCCUCAUGAAAUGUCACACGCGGACACGUGGUCUGGCCGGCCGCUCAUGGAGGUACAUCCAUGUGGCCACUCCUCGGCUUGAACAAUAUGGCCGACUCACAGUUUAGUGGCUUCAAACUGCGAGACUCCAUGCUCCCCCCUUAUAAUACUAAAAAAAUAAGAAAUAACAUGUAUAAUAAGGCGCUUAAUAUAGGAUGAUUUAUAUAGUGAAAUGAUUAUAAAAAGUAGUCACUUUUUAUACAUAGUUAUCUUAAAAUGGUUUUAAUACAAGGUAGUCAACAUAUUGAAGUGUUCAUAUGUGAUUUUUUAUGCAGAUAUAUGAAUUUUUGUGGCGUCAGGAAGGUUUUUCGUCGCGGCGCUUGACAUCGAGUCAGAUUCGGGGAAUGUUCGUCGCGACUUCUGGUCGAGCUCGAGCAAAAACUACUGAAGCUAGGAAAGCGUGCUUGGUGGCAAAUAAAAGCUUUAUUACUACGGAUUAAUAAUUAGAAAAAAAUUGGAAAGCACUAAAUAAAUAAAAAAAAAUGUUAUAAGCAAAAAACUAGGACGUGUCCAAAUCGCGGCAAAAGGGCCGGAAAACAGGUUAUUUUUGUGACGGUUCGAAGACGAAUUAGAAUCAAGCUAUCAAAAAACCCUUCGAGUUGGUUAAACUACAUUGCCAAGAGGGGCUACAUUGGCAGGGCUAAAUCAUUUGUCAAAUAAGUGUUUUGAAAUUCUCAAAAAAUGAGUGGGUCUCAAGGUUGGGAACUCAAAAAUACGUUUUUUUUCAGUCGUUUUUUGCGAAUUUAUUCGAUUUUCGACUCUUUGAAUCGGUUUUCGAGCCCGGUCGCUAAUGUAAUAUAUAGCCCAUGCAUUUUGCCGUCGAUUGAUACCAAUAACUUUUCUGUAGCCCCAGAAGUGAGGGAGUUAUGGCGAUUCGCACCAAAGCGGUUGAUUUUCCAAAAUUCACGGCUUAAUGACAGGGCUGGGGCAAGUUUCCGGUCCAUAGUGUAGGGUUCACUGAGCAAGUUGCUGUCUCUGUAUUCAUUCCCAUCUAGUGCUUGGGCAGUGUUCUCCGUCCCCACAUUUUAUUGUCUUAUUGUCCAGGGGGAGGUACCGCCCCCUCCCUUGUUGUGCUUUCCUUCCUACCAUUGUAUCUUUUUAGUUUCAUGGUGCUACCUUCACAUGUAUUAAUAGUUGUAUAAUCACACUCUGUACUGCCUGGGGGUUGGGAUGGCAUGUUCCUCCCUUCUCCCUUGUUGUUUACCUGCAACAAUAAACUAUCAAUCAAUCAAUGUCCAUUCUGUAGUGUGGGCACCAAAACAGGACAGCAUAAUCUAAGUGUGGCCUAACUAACACUAAAUAGAGUCUGAGGAUGACCUCUGCACUUUUGUUGGUUACCGUCCUGUUAAUAAAGCCUAAAAUCCUGUUAGCCCUAUUCCUCACACUAAUAGUAGGCUACAGUGCUUCCUUAGUUUUAGGUCAGAGUUCACACACUCCCAAAUCCCUUUCACACUCUGCCCUGCCUAUCGCUGUGGAGUCUAAACUAUACCCGUGUAAUGGGUUGCGUGUUCCUACACUUAGUAUGCUACGCUUGGUAAUGUUAAAAUUCAUCUGCCAUUUCUCUGACUAAUCUGAGUUUAUUGAGAUCCUCCUGCAGUGCUUUAGCAUCCUCCCCUGUCCUAAUAGUGUGUCCUAUUUUGGUGUCAUCCGCAAAUUUACCUGUCACUGGUUAUCCCAUUGUCUAUGUCAUUGAUGUAUUGAUAAUGAAUAAAAGCGGACCUAAAACUUGACCCUGAGGAACCCCACUGAUAACAUUAUCCCAUUCGAUUUUUUUUUUUUUUUUUUUUACCGUUAGUGGUAACCCUCUGUUUCCUGUCGCUAAUCCACGCCCUAAUCCAAUCAUAAACCUUCCCUCCUAUUCCAUGAGCCCUGACUUUAUUUUUUUAACACUCUCUGGUGAGGUACCUUAUCGAAGGCCUUAUAUACUAAAAUCAAGAUAAAAUACAUCGUAGCUCUCAUCAUUGUCAGCUGCCUCGUAUACUCUAUUGUAAAAUGAUAAAAGAUUAGUAAGGCACGACUUUCCUUUAAUAAACCCAUGCUGUGAGUCGUGAAUUAAAUUUUCUCAAUAUGGUCCCUAAUAUACUAUCUGCUUUUAUUGACUCAAGCAUUUUACCUAUAACUGACGUCAAAUUAAUCGGCCUAUAGUUUUGUAUAGAAGAUUUGUCUCCCUUCUUAUAUAUUGGAAUAACGUGUGCCUUCCUCCAUGAAACAGGCACCACUCCUGUGUCUAGCGACUUCCUAAAAACUGCUGUUAGCUGCCACUGAUUUCAGAUUUACAUUCUUUAAUACCCUGGGAAAAAUUUCAUCUGGCCCUGGCGCCUUAGUAACUUUGAGUCUAUCUAUCUUUCUAAUCACGACCUCCCUACUAGGGGUAGUGUCAUGACCCUUCUUCUGUACCGUGAAUGUGAAAAAAAAACUCAUGAAAACCCGAUUAAUCUCCUUUUCGGCCUUUGGAAAUAGUUGAUGUGGGAGAUGGAAUGUAUGAGAAUACCCCCCCCUGAACUGCAAUCCACAUAUCUCCCUCCCUUGUCAAGUUUCGUGCGAACUGAAAACAAAUAAAUUAAAGGCGCAGUUUGAAUUAGAAGAUUUUACAUUGCUUUCAAACUUAGGCAAGACAAACACCAUUCUAACAGACCAUUUAAUUCACCUUGAUUUAUUAUUAUUUUUUUUUUUUGCAGUUGUAGUUUUGAUUGUUCGAAAUAUUGACGAAAUUGAAGCUCGAUCGGAUCCAUCACAGAAAAUGGUAAGUUUGAAAAUAUUCUUCUCCAUAUGUUUGUUUUUUAUAUACGUAUUGUACAAGAAAAUUUCGAGAAAGACGAAUAUGUAUAUAUGCUGUUGAAUGUAAGGCAUGGGAAGUUGGUCGUCAAGUGUGUGUGUGUGUGUGUGUGUGUGUGUGUGUGUGUGUCAGUGGUAGUGUUCGAAUCACAUUACGUACGUUCCAUUCUCAACAGGUGGCACUUCGAAACAAUAAUGGCCACAACACGUCAUCUCCAUAAUAAUAAUAAUAAUAAUAAUAAUAAUAAUAAUAAUAAACAAAAGAGGUCCUGAGCGAUGAAGACCUGAUUUUACUCUUAUUUUUAACCUGUGUAACCAUCUACACACACACACACACACACACACACACACAUUACUUUCCCGAAUAAUAAUAAUAAUAUGUCUUUGGAAGCCACUCCGUAUGAUAAUUAAUAGUUCUACCUUAAUAUCUUCCCCCUUCCCCUUCAGUGCCUGUUUAUAGUGGAACCAAGCGAGACCGUUUGUGCUUUGGUCCUCGCGGGUUCUUUCCUCCCCGACGCUCUGCCACACACCCUCAACACCUGUCUCUUCCUCUCAUAUGUUAACUAUAGGAAACAUAUGAGAUGAAGGGAUAGGUCUUAGGGUGUGGUAGGGCGGCGGGGAGGAAAGGACCCGUGGUAGCCAACGCGAAUUAACACGGUCUCGCCAAUUUGGGUUCACUAUAGCGUUGGCCUCAAGCCCUCUGGUGGCCACUGAAGGAACAACGUCACCACCCGCUAUAGAGGUUAUCAUCAGUUAAGAGUAUAUAUGCAAAUUUAUACGUACCAGUCCAUUUAGUAUUAUUCAUGGGAGGAAACGAGAGAAAACAACAACCGCUGGUAACUUGAGCUGUGUGGCGUAAAACUAAUAGGCUAUUGGUUGAAGUUAGGAAUGUUUUCUUUUUUAAACUUUAUUAUUUUUCUAUAUCCUCAAUUUCCAGCGUUAUAUCAAUCUUGAUUUUGACUACUUUUGACAUUUGGGUUCUUCAAACACUCGAGCUCAAUGACCUUUGUUUUUUUUCUCUGCCUUCCUUCCUGAUCUGUGUCCUAAAUGGAAUGGAGUAGAAACUCGCAAACACACUCUUGUACUUAUAGGAUAGUCUAGAAAACUAUAUUAUCUGUCUCUAAGGUUUGAAUAUGUAAAUAGCGUGCUUAACAGCUAAUACAUACAUACUAGCAGCACCUUACCCACCACCACCAAACCACACCCUCUCUUCAACGUGCACUACUAUGGGCCGCGCGCCGCCUCCGUACCAAGGAGUCUACCGGGACCAGGGUCAAUAUUCUUAAACGUAUAGGGCUGCCAUUACGACCAUUUUCCAAGGACACAGAAGAGACUGGCCAGAUUUUUCAUGGCUGUUUUUCCCGUUCAAGAUAUGCAGAAGGCGGGUAAAACUAUCACUAGAAUCAAAACAGUCCAUGAAAAUCCCAGCAGCUUCUAAGAUAGGCUUUUCAAACGGGCGAACUGAGGCGUCGAUACGUUUAAGAAUACGGGCUUGGGAGAUCCUUGCUCCGAACUGGCCCAACCAAAUCCGUGUUUCGAAACGCUCUCGAUCGGGUCUCUUUACAACUAUUCUCAGAGGUUACACGGUCGGAUUAGUCGGGUUCUCAAGGCCAUUAUCCCAUUCAUGGUGCAAUUUAGUACUGCUGUUAUUAUUGAGAUCCAUGAAAGGGCAUCAAGGGAUAGUAGCUAUGGGCCCAAACGGUGUCCCUUCGAUGAGCAGUGAUGAGUACGAAAAUUAGACUGACAGUAACGGAAGAAUAAAUAAAAAGGAAGGACAAAAAAAUACCAAUAGUAUUUCCAUUUUAAACUGGCCGGUGGGUUAACAGUUAGAUAAUGACUUUUGCUCUCCCUGUAAGACUAUCACGAGGAUAAAAAGAAAAGCGCCCAUUAUGACCUCAACAGCUUUCCCACGAGAUAACCUUUUCGAGUAUAGGCGCAACGGCGCAACGAGACCCUAAAUUAAGCGGUUUCGAACACGUAUGGGUCUGCUGGGUUGCGAUAGACUCCUUGAUCCUCCUUGGGCCGCCACUUCUCAAACAGAUAAAUGAAUACUAUGACAGCAGGAGGCACGUACACCGAUCUUAAGAACUACUAUGAGGCUUGCGAAUGGCUUAUGAGAUUUUAACGGACGCUUGAAACAAAACUGCAGGGUAGCUGUAAUACGUCUGAGAACCACACGACGCUAGUUCACUAUGGGGUCUGUAGUUCCCAAUAGUCUGUAGCGAGGCCCUCUGGCGACCCUCUUACAGGCUGCUGAAAGUUACAUGUAGUAGUACUCGUCGUGUAUGGAAUAGGUAUAGUACAGGAGAUACAGGCUACAUGGAGUUACUGUAUACGUUAGUUACUGCUAGAUGCGAUAUGUUCACCUACAGAUAUUUGGGAGGGGAGCUCGGUUUUAUACACACACACACACACACACACACACACACACACACACAUUAAACAUCGUGUGCAAAAAAUACAUACAUUGGGACGUGUUUAACUUUAAAUAUAAGUGAACAUGUAAUAAAACGCGAUAAAAUACAUAACCUUCGAGCUUACGUUCUUAACUAAUUUCAUCCUGUAAAAAUAUAUUAAAACACAAACGUCUAUGAAUGAACACACACACAAAAUAAUUGCAUUCUAAAUUAUAGGAAGUUAGAAUAGCUUUCACCUACAAACGUACUUUUUUUUUCCCUACAUCUUUGUCAUUCAUCCUCUCUUCCAACCUAGGUACUGCUUUCUUUAUUUUUCAUUCAUCUUGCAUUCAUGAUCUUCUCUGUCCCGUCACUCAUGCCUUCACAAUUUUCUUAUCUUUUAAUUUCCCUUCCAAUGUUUUCUUCUUCAUUCAUUCAUCUUGCAUUCAUCAUCUCGAUCCUCUUCCAUUCACUAUCUUCUUCUCUUUUAAUUUCUCUUCCAAUGUUUUCUUCUUCAUUCAUUCAUCUUGCAUUCAACUCCUUCAUUAACUUCUCUUUUAAUUUCCUUUCCAAUGUUUUCUUCUUCAUUCAUUCAUCUUGCAUUCAUCAUCUCGAUCCUCUUUCAUUCACUAUCUUCUUCUCUUUUAAUUUCCCUU
Long non-coding RNA from Eriocheir sinensis (Chinese mitten crab), 7074 nucleotides. RefSeq lists it as uncharacterized. Lineage: Eukaryota; Metazoa; Arthropoda; Malacostraca; Decapoda; Varunidae. The transcript is spliced from 2 exons. The record is from RefSeq and is a predicted model, not a curated record.